Molecule: ribosomal RNA, 2852 nt
Filed under: Escherichia coli
Lineage: Bacteria; Pseudomonadati; Pseudomonadota; Gammaproteobacteria; Enterobacterales; Enterobacteriaceae
Description: partial 23S ribosomal RNA
Rfam family: Bacterial large subunit ribosomal RNA
Source: RNAcentral
GGGUUGUGAGGUUAAGCGACUAAGCGUACACGGUGGAUGCCCUGGCAGUCAGAGGCGAUGAAGGACGUGCUAAUCUGCGAUAAGCGUCGGUAAGGUGAUAUGAACCGUUAUAACCGGCGAUUUCCGAAUGGGGAAACCCAGUGUGAUUCGUCACACUAUCAUUAACUGAAUCCAUAGGUUAAUGAGGCGAACCGGGGGAACUGAAACAUCUAAGUACCCCGAGGAAAAGAAAUCAACCGAGAUUCCCCCAGUAGCGGCGAGCGAACGGGGAGGAGCCCAGAGCCUGAAUCAGUGUGUGUGUUAGUGGAAGCGUCUGGAAAGGCGCGCGAUACAGGGUGACAGCCCCGUACACAAAAAUGCACAUGCUGUGAGCUCGAUGAGUAGGGCGGGACACGUGGUAUCCUGUCUGAAUAUGGGGGGACCAUCCUCCAAGGCUAAAUACUCCUGACUGACCGAUAGUGAACCAGUACCGUGAGGGAAAGGCGAAAAGAACCCCGGCGAGGGGAGUGAAAAAGAACCUGAAACCGUGUACGUACAAGCAGUGGGAGCACGCUUAGGCGUGUGACUGCGUACCUUUUGUAUAAUGGGUCAGCGACUUAUAUUCUGUAGCAAGGUUAACCGAAUAGGGGAGCCGAAGGGAAACCGAGUCUUAACUGGGCGUUAAGUUGCAGGGUAUAGACCCGAAACCCGGUGAUCUAGCCAUGGGCAGGUUGAAGGUUGGGUAACACUAACUGGAGGACCGAACCGACUAAUGUUGAAAAAUUAGCGGAUGACUUGUGGCUGGGGGUGAAAGGCCAAUCAAACCGGGAGAUAGCUGGUUCUCCCCGAAAGCUAUUUAGGUAGCGCCUCGUGAAUUCAUCUCCGGGGGUAGAGCACUGUUUCGGCAAGGGGGUCAUCCCGACUUACCAACCCGAUGCAAACUGCGAAUACCGGAGAAUGUUAUCACGGGAGACACACGGCGGGUGCUAACGUCCGUCGUGAAGAGGGAAACAACCCAGACCGCCAGCUAAGGUCCCAAAGUCAUGGUUAAGUGGGAAACGAUGUGGGAAGGCCCAGACAGCCAGGAUGUUGGCUUAGAAGCAGCCAUCAUUUAAAGAAAGCGUAAUAGCUCACUGGUCGAGUCGGCCUGCGCGGAAGAUGUAACGGGGCUAAACCAUGCACCGAAGCUGCGGCAGCGACGCUGAUGCGUUGUUGGGUAGGGGAGCGUUCUGUAAGCCUGUGAAGGUGUGCUGUGAGGCAUGCUGGAGGUAUCAGAAGUGCGAAUGCUGACAUAAGUAACGAUAAAGCGGGUGAAAAGCCCGCUCGCCGGAAGACCAAGGGUUCCUGUCCAACGUUAAUCGGGGCAGGGUGAGUCGACCCCUAAGGCGAGGCCGAAAGGCGUAGUCGAUGGGAAACAGGUUAAUAUUCCUGUACUUGGUGUUACUGCGAAGGGGGGACGGAGAAGGCUAUGUUGGCCGGGCGACGGUUGUCCCGGUUUAAGCGUGUAGGCUGGUUUUCCAGGCAAAUCCGGAAAACUAAGGCUGAGGCGUGAUGACGAGGCACUACGGUGCUGAAGCAACAAAUGCCCUGCUUCCAGGAAAAGCCUCUAAGCAUCAGGUAACAUCAAAUCGUACCCCAAACCGACACAGGUGGUCAGGUAGAGAAUACCAAGGCGCUUGAGAGAACUCGGGUGAAGGAACUAGGCAAAAUGGUGCCGUAACUUCGGGAGAAGGCACGCUGAUAUGUAGGUGAAGUCCCUCGCGGAUGGAGCUGAAAUCAGUCGAAGAUACCAGCUGGCUGCAACUGUUUAUUAAAAACACAGCACUGUGCAAACACGAAAGUGGACGUAUACGGUGUGACGCCUGCCCGGUGCCGGAAGGUUAAUUGAUGGGGUCAGCGCAAGCGAAGCUCUUGAUCGAAGCCCCGGUAAACGGCGGCCGUAACUAUAACGGUCCUAAGGUAGCGAAAUUCCUUGUCGGGUAAGUUCCGACCUGCACGAAUGGCGUAAUGAUGGCCAGGCUGUCUCCACCCGAGACUCAGUGAAAUUGAACUCGCUGUGAAGAUGCAGUGUACCCGCGGCAAGACGGAAAGACCCCGUGAACCUUUACUAUAGCUUGACACUGAACAUUGAGCCUUGAUGUGUAGGAUAGGUGGGAGGCUUUGAAGUGUGGACGCCAGUCUGCAUGGAGCCGACCUUGAAAUACCACCCUUUAAUGUUUGAUGUUCUAACGUUGACCCGUAAUCCGGGUUGCGGACAGUGUCUGGUGGGUAGUUUGACUGGGGCGGUCUCCUCCUAAAGAGUAACGGAGGAGCACGAAGGUUGGCUAAUCCUGGUCGGACAUCAGGAGGUUAGUGCAAUGGCAUAAGCCAGCUUGACUGCGAGCGUGACGGCGCGAGCAGGUGCGAAAGCAGGUCAUAGUGAUCCGGUGGUUCUGAAUGGAAGGGCCAUCGCUCAACGGAUAAAAGGUACUCCGGGGAUAACAGGCUGAUACCGCCCAAGAGUUCAUAUCGACGGCGGUGUUUGGCACCUCGAUGUCGGCUCAUCACAUCCUGGGGCUGAAGUAGGUCCCAAGGGUAUGGCUGUUCGCCAUUUAAAGUGGUACGCGAGCUGGGUUUAGAACGUCGUGAGACAGUUCGGUCCCUAUCUGCCGUGGGCGCUGGAGAACUGAGGGGGGCUGCUCCUAGUACGAGAGGACCGGAGUGGACGCAUCACUGGUGUUCGGGUUGUCAUGCCAAUGGCACUGCCCGGUAGCUAAAUGCGGAAGAGAUAAGUGCUGAAAGCAUCUAAGCACGAAACUUGCCCCGAGAUGAGUUCUCCCUGACUCCUUGAGAGUCCUGAAGGAACGUUGAAGACGACGACGUUGAUAGGCCGG